GACGAACGCUGGCGGCGUGCUUAACACAUGCAAGUCGAACGGCAAGGCCCUGCUUUUGUUGGGUGCUCGAGUGGCGAACGGGUGAGUAACACGUGAGUAACCUGCCCUUGACUUUGGGAUAACUUCAGGAAACUGGGGCUAAUACCGGAUAGGAGCUCCUGCUGCAUGGUGGGGGUUGGAAAGUUUCGGCGGUUAGGGAUGGACUCGCGGCUUAUCAGCUUGUUGGUGGGGUAGUGGCUUACCAAGGCUUUGACGGGUAGCCGGCCUGAGCGGGUGACCGGCGACAUUGGGCCUGAGAUACGGCGCAGACGCCAACGGGAGGCAGCAGUGGGGAAUAUUGCACAAUGGGCGGACGCGUGAUGCAGAGGCGCCGCGUGCGGGAAGACGGCCUUCGGGGUGUAAACCGCUUUCGCCUGUGACGAAGCGUGAGUGACGGUAAUGGGUAAAGAAGCACCGGCUAACUACGUG
RNAcentral lists this ribosomal RNA (468 nucleotides) under uncultured bacterium. Its description in RNAcentral is "partial 16S ribosomal RNA". It matches the Rfam family "Bacterial small subunit ribosomal RNA", at positions 28 to 507 of the family's 1533-position model. The record is from RNAcentral.